RNAcentral lists this ribosomal RNA (481 nucleotides) under uncultured bacterium. RNAcentral describes it as "partial 16S ribosomal RNA". It matches the Rfam family "Bacterial small subunit ribosomal RNA", at positions 28 to 506 of the family's 1533-position model. The record is from RNAcentral.
GAUGAACGCUGGCGGCGUGCCUAAUACAUGCAAGUCGAACGCUUCACUUCGGUGAAGAGUGGCGAACGGGUGAGUAAUACAUAAGUAACCUGGCAUCUACAGGGGGAUAACUGAUGGAAACGUCAGCUAAGACCGCAUAGGUGUAGAGAUCGCAUGAACUCUAUAUGAAAAGUGCUACGGGACUGGUAGAUGAUGGACUUAUGGCGCAUUAGCUUGUUGGUAGGGUAACGGCCUACCAAGGCGACGAUGCGUAGCCGACCUGAGAGGGUGACCGGCCACACUGGGACUGAGACACGGCCCAGACUCCUACGGGAGGCAGCAGUAGGGAAUUUUCGGCAGUGGGGGAAACCCUGACCGAGCAACGCCGCGUGAAGGAAGAAGUAAUUCGUUAUGUAAACUUCUGUCAUAGAGGAAGAACGGUGGAUAUAGGGAAUGAUAUCCAAGUGACGGUACUCUAUAAGAAAGCCACGGCUAACUACGU